Molecule: ribosomal RNA, 230 nt
Filed under: uncultured microorganism
Description: partial 16S ribosomal RNA
Rfam family: Bacterial small subunit ribosomal RNA
Source: RNAcentral
UACGUAGGGGGCAAGCGUUAUCCGGAAUUACUGGGUGUAAAGGGAGCGUAGGCGGUAUUGUAAGUCAGGUGUGAAAGCCCGUGGCUCAACCACGGGACUGCACUUGAAACUACAAAACUAGAGUACAGGAGAGGAAAGUGGAAUUCCUAGUGUAGCGGUGAAAUGCGUAGAUAUUAGGAGGAACACCAGUGGCGAAGGCGGCUUUCUGGACUGUAACUGACGCUGAGGCU